Molecule: transfer RNA, 73 nt
Filed under: Ameiurus melas (black bullhead)
Lineage: Eukaryota; Metazoa; Chordata; Actinopteri; Siluriformes; Ictaluridae
Rfam family: tRNA
About the family: Transfer RNA (tRNA) molecules are approximately 80 nucleotides in length. Their secondary structure includes four short double-helical elements and three loops (D, anti-codon, and T loops). Further hydrogen bonds mediate the characteristic L-shaped molecular structure. tRNAs have two regions of fundamental functional importance: the anti-codon, which is responsible for specific mRNA codon recognition, and the 3' end, to which the tRNAs corresponding amino acid is attached (by aminoacyl-tRNA synthetases). tRNAs cope with the degeneracy of the genetic code in two manners: having more than one tRNA (with a specific anti-codon) for a particular amino acid; and 'wobble' base-pairing, i.e. permitting non-standard base-pairing at the 3rd anti-codon position.
Source: Rfam by way of RNAcentral
GUUUCAAAAGUGUAGUGGUCAUCAUGUCUGCUUUACAGGCAGAAAGUCCUUGGUUCAAUCCCCAGUGGAACCA